CUCAUUUUCUGUGGGUUUGUAUCAGCACAUUUGCUUAAACGCAUGUGUUUAUGCACAUCCUGAAUUACUUAAAGACAAAUCAUAAACACUUUGAUGCCAGACCUUUGGUGUCUAAUAAAAGCUAAAAUCUGUCUUAGGUAAGACUUAAUCACAGCAUUAAUCUGUCAGAUAAUGUGAACAAAGCAGGUAAACAGCCCUGAAGGUGCCAAACUCAAAAUAUCUCAUUUUCAUCAUUUUCACACACAAAAAAAUCCUGACUAUCAGGGUCUCAUUUUAGAGCGCUAUAAAUAUUAAAAAAAUAAUUUCAUACUUUGGUUAAUCCCACCUGGAAGGGUUUGCUCUGUGUGAAAUAAUGGUAAGAGCCCAGGGGUCCCAUUAGGCUUCUCACUAAUCCAAAUAAAUCCACUUGCCACUGCAGCACAGUCCAACUUUACUUGUUUUGCCUCUAAAUAACAGUGACAGCUUCACCACCAAGACAUUUGUUCUUGAUGCCUCAUGCUUUGUUCAACCUGUCACCCAUGAAGGUGAUUAACUGGAUUGAUUGCACAAUUUUUGACAUGAAGAGUAAAUGAGACGUGGCGUGUCUCCUCUCACUGAAUGACAGUCCAUGAAGCAGGUGAUAAGAAGAGCCAAAGAGUCAUUUCUAACAGUGCUGUCUUAUAUCUGACACCAGACUAGACACCUCGCAGCAGUUGGCUAUAGUCACUAUAUCAGUCAAAACUAUCCCAGCUUAGUCACAAAAUGUUUUUUCUUCUGCAAGAAUAAAUUCAACAAAACCCUUUUUUUAAUGCCAGGCUGUCAAUGUUUUUUUUUUUUUUUUUUUGGUUUGUUUUUUGUCUCCAAGUGAUUUUUGACAUGCUGUGCCAAGCAUAACAAGAACUAAACAAAGUGUCUAAAUGCUUCAAGAUUUGCAUUUUUCAUUCUUGCUGCUAUACAAUUCCUUGACGCAAGAGGUUAUGGAUUUCACUGUGGGGAAUUAGGAGACUUACAUUAUUCUCCACAAAUGCAAAUCUUUAUAAUAUGACAGUUUAAUCUUCUCAGAGAACUAUCCAACAAGAUUAAAGACGAAACUUAGAUCAUUCAGCGUUUCUCUAGGUUGUUGCCCCUUAGUCAUUCUUACAGCCAAUUACUGAGGUAUCUUCCCUGUUGUUAAUAGUUACCCUAUUUAGACAUAUUUUCUAUCAGUAUUAACUAUUAAAUGCUUUUAUAAUUCCACCAAGUUGUAUUUAA
Long non-coding RNA from Astatotilapia calliptera (eastern happy), 1230 nucleotides. NCBI's taxonomy places the organism in Eukaryota, Metazoa, Chordata, Actinopteri, Cichliformes, Cichlidae. The record is from Ensembl.